Molecule: small RNA, 624 nt
Filed under: Pongo abelii (Sumatran orangutan)
Lineage: Eukaryota; Metazoa; Chordata; Mammalia; Primates; Hominidae
Description: retained intron
Source: RNAcentral
AGCCGGGUUCGUGCCGCCAUGGGGCAGAUCGAGUGGGCUAUGUGGGCCAACGAGCAGGCGCUGGCGUCCGGCCUGAUCCUCAUCACCGGGGGCAUCGUGGCCACAGCUGGGCGCUUCACCCAGUGGUACUUUGGUGCCUACUCCAUUGUGGCGGGCGUGUUUGUCUGCCUGCUGGAGUACCCCCGGGGGAAGAGGAAGAAGGGCUCCACCAUGGAGCGCUGGUGAGUCUUCUCCUGCUCUGGGGUCUCUCCUGGGGCUGUGGGGCCCAGGCAGGGCUCACAGGGUCAGGUGGAGCCUGGUUCCUCACUUGGAGGCUCCGGAAUCAACCCUUUGGUGCUUGUGGGUAAACCAAGGCCGGUGCCUGCCCAGUGUGUUUUCUGGGAGGAAAGAGGCCUGGGUGCUCUGGGGUGGUCAGCAGGGCAGCAGGGGAGUCCUGAGUGGGAGAGGCCCAGCCGCGCUGUCUCCCCUUCCUCCCUCCCCCAGGGGGCAGAAGUAUAUGACUGCCGUGGUGAAGCUGUUCGGGCCCUUCACCAGGAAUUACUACAUUCGGGCCGUCCUGCAUCUCCUGCUCUCGGUGCCCGCCGGCUUCCUGCUGGCCACCAUCCUUGGGACCGCCUGCCUGGC